This 253-nucleotide ribosomal RNA is filed under the name uncultured bacterium. Its description in RNAcentral is "partial 16S ribosomal RNA". It matches the Rfam family "Bacterial small subunit ribosomal RNA", at positions 524 to 776 of the family's 1533-position model. RNAcentral also lists the same sequence under 2 other names. The record is from RNAcentral.
UACGUAGGGGGCAAGCGUUGUCCGGAUUUAUUGGGCGUAAAGCGCACGCAGGCGGUCAGCCAAGUUCAGGGUGACAGUUCCCGGCUCAACUGGGAAAGUGGUCUGAAAACUGGCGGACUUGAGGGCUUCAGAGGGACACGGAAUUCCGGGUGGAGUGGUGAAAUGCGUAGAUAUCCGGAGGAACACCAAAGGCGAAGGCAGUGUCCUGGGAAGUACCUGACGCUCAGGUGCGAAAGCCAGGGGAGCGAACGGG